This is a long non-coding RNA of Mercenaria mercenaria, 2033 nucleotides long. RefSeq lists it as uncharacterized. NCBI's taxonomy places the organism in Eukaryota, Metazoa, Mollusca, Bivalvia, Venerida, Veneridae. The record is from RefSeq and is a predicted model, not a curated record. The transcript has 4 exons.
AUACUCAAAUUUUUGACACAAUUAGAAUAUACACAUAGAGGAGUAUAAUUAUUUGUGAGAAGGUUUUAUUUUAAUAAUUAAUAUGCAUUCAGACUGGAUUCUUAUUUUUUCAACGGUGUUUGAAAUAUACAAAGAUCUAGGGAAGGGAUAUGGUUAUGUGCGAGUAGGUUUUAUGAUUUUUUUUAUGUAUUCAAAUUGGAUCUAAUUUUCAAUACAAUGUAACUAUUUAUGAUAUUCAGGCCGGAUUUAAUUUUCAACACAAUUUGGAAUAUACAAUAACAAAGUGAAAGAAUAUAAUUAUGAUGUUUACUUUUUAUCGUGAUCAUCACAAUUCAAAUCGGAUUGAAUUUAUAAUAAUUGAUGAUAUUCUAAUCGGAUUUAAUUUUCAACACAAUUCGGAAUAUUCACACAUAUAGUGAAGGUAUAUUAUUAUUGAAGAUGUCAAUGUUUGGUAAAAGUUGGAUUGUACAUAACUGGAGUAAAGGAAUAUAAUUAUCGGUCGUUUUCCAUCGUACAUAUAAUAGAGCAAGGAUGCCUGGACGAGGAAAAGGAUUAAGAAAGAGGAAAAAUAUUAUAUGUGAGGAUCAGGGACGGGAUGGCAACAGGAAACGUUUAAGUAGGACGGAUCGGAGAACGUCACCACCGAAUAUAAGCCACGAGACAGUAGAUGAGCAAGGAACGGAAGGGUUGCAGUGCAGUUGUAAGAUGGGAGGCCGUCAUCUAGCGGUUCACAUUGUAUGACAAUGGAAGUAUACCCAAAGAUAACACGAGUUGUUUCAACAUGGCGGAACGAAAGAUGAAGGCAGUGUCUGUAAGUUAAGGUAUUGUAAAAAUAUGUACUAGAAUGGAAACUUGGAAAGCUUUAAAGCUAUUGAAGUGUUUCAUUUUUUUCGAAGGUGGAGAACAAUCAGUAUGCACGACAUCUUUCUCAAUGGCUAUAAAAAAUUUACAACAAUAUGUUUCCCCUGGCAAUUAUUUGGUAUUAAUCAGAAUUGAAAAUAUCGCGAGGAAGUGGCUGUGGUUUUGAUAUGAAAUAUUACAUGAUCAUGCUAUAUACUCAAACAGGGUUAAAUGCUCAAUACUGUUUGGAAUAUACAUAAAUAAAGAAAAGAAAUAUAUAUUAUUUGUGAGAAAGUUUUUUUUAAUAAUUUUUGUGUAAUAAAAUUAGAUUUAAUUUUUCAACGCAGUUUGAAAUAUACAUAGACAAAGUGAAGGAAUUUAACUAUUUGUGAUAUUCAAGUCGGAUUUCAUUUUCAACACAAUUUGGAAUAUAUUCAAAGAAAAAAGCGGAGGAUUAUAAUUAUUGGUGAUUAGGUUUUGUUGGGGUAUCAUCUAAAUUCAAAUCGGAUUGAAUUUUCAAUUUAAUUUUGAAUAUAAACAUACAUUGCAAAAAAAAUUUAAUUAUUGGUGAUAAUCUUAUCGGAUGUAAUUUGCAAUACAAUUUGGAAUAUUCACAAGUUCAAAAGAAGAAAUAUAAUUAUCGGUAAGUGUUAUUCUAAUCAUUGAUAUAUAUAUUAAAAGCUGGUUUAAUUCUCGAAACUUUAGGAAUAAACAUUGAUAAAAUCAAAGAAUAUAAUUAUUAAUGACCGUUAGUUCUAAUCAUUAAAUAAAAUAUACUAAAAUAUACUAUUGUUUGUCUAUUUAACAGACUUUUCGAUCAAACAGGCAAAAGUAUUUAUAGCGUUAGGAACAAUCAUAUAUUAACGGUUUAAAAUACAUGUUUGUUCGACCGAAUCAUCUGCCAAGAUUUUAAGGUAUGUUUUUCUUAAGUACAAGGGAGUACAAAUGAUUCUAUCAUUUAACUUUGUUUUCACUGUUAUAAGUAUAAAUAGAUAGAACAUUGAAGCGGUUUAAUUUUUGCUGUAAGAAUAACAGACAAAUAGAUAAGUAAUAUUCCAUAAUCAGAAAUAGUUUUUCAUAUAUCAAAAUUUUGGUUUUUGUCGUUAUUAAAUGUUUCUGCUUUUAUCUGAUUGUAUGGGUUGGUUGCCGAUUUCUCUGUACGUUUUGGAUUUGGAUUAGUAUUUAAGUGUCCA